AGCACUUGUGUGUCUUUUUGUCUCAACUUAUGGACUAAAACUUAAUAGACAGGUGCAAAAAAAAAUCCUUGUUUGCAACCCAGAAUUCAUUGUUCAGUAUGAGUUUUGACACAUAUAAAAAGGAAUAUU
Molecule: small nucleolar RNA, 129 nt
Organism: Octodon degus (degu)
Lineage: Eukaryota; Metazoa; Chordata; Mammalia; Rodentia; Octodontidae
Source: Ensembl